Molecule: ribosomal RNA, 253 nt
Filed under: uncultured bacterium
Lineage: Bacteria
Description: partial 16S ribosomal RNA
Rfam family: Bacterial small subunit ribosomal RNA
Source: RNAcentral
GACAGAGGGUGCAAACGUUGUCCGGAAUUACUGGGCGUAAAGCGUGUGUAGGCGGCUCUGCAAGUCGGAUGUGAAAGCCCCGGGCUCAACCUGGGAAGUGCACUCGAAACUGCUGAGCUUGAGUAUCGGAGAGGUCGGUGGAAUUCUCGGUGGAGAGGUGAAAUUCGUAGAUAUCGAGGGGAACACCAGUGGCGAAGGCGGCCGACUGGACGAAUACUGACGCUGAGACACGAAAGCGUGGGGAGCAAACAGG